CCAGCAGCCGCGGUAAUUCCAGCUCCAAUAGCGUAUAUUAAAGUUGUUGCAGUUAAAAAGCUCGUAGUUGGACCUUGGACCUGGACGGGCGGUCCGCCUCACGGCGUGUACUGUCUGGCUGGGUCUUUCCUCUUGGUGAUCUGUUGUUUCGGCAGCAGGGAACCAGGACCUUUACUUUGAAAAAAUUAGAGUGUUCAAAGCAGGCUUUACGCCGGAAUAUAUUAGCAUGGAAUAAUAAAAUAGGACGUGCGGUUCUAUUUUGUUGGUUUUUGGAAUCGCCGUAAUGAUUAAUAGGGAUAGUCGGGGGCAUUAGUACUCACAUGCUAGAGGUGAAAUUCUUGGAUUUUGUGAAGACUAACUACUGCGAAAGCAUUUGCCAAGGAUGUUU
Molecule: ribosomal RNA, 388 nt
Filed under: uncultured eukaryote
Lineage: Eukaryota
Description: SSU rRNA
Rfam family: Eukaryotic small subunit ribosomal RNA
Source: RNAcentral